Molecule: long non-coding RNA, 722 nt
Filed under: Parus major (Great Tit)
Lineage: Eukaryota; Metazoa; Chordata; Aves; Passeriformes; Paridae
Description: lncRNA (ENSPMJG00000009707.1)
Source: RNAcentral
UUUUGAUCUGGGGACUGCAGAGCUGUGGGUGGUGUUAACUGUGGCCUCCUUGUAGAUCAGAGACAAACCAGGAAGAACUUCUAGAAGAGUGAGAAGCUAAACUAUACUGUUACCAAAUUAAUGUGCUUUUCUUGCUUAAGUCACUGCAAGGUUCAUCAUAGUCUCCAGUGGAGUCAGAAUUUCCUCUCCAGUACUUAAAAUUCUACCAGGUUAACAGAAAAAGACACAAAAAAUUACUUGCUGUUCAUUUUUGGAGACUAGAUAUAUUUAUAUGUGUAGUUGGUGUACUCCACUUAGCCACAUCCCAGCUCCAUGUUGUAGAAUACUCAACAUUCUUUAAGUUUUCCACUCCUAGGUGCCUUGACUUCUACUAGCUGGGAAUCUUGGCAUAUGUAAUGGAUAGAAAUCCUGGUCUGUGCUGAGCUUGUCUCUAGCCUGGAUGAUCACAGGAUACCCGAGAACAUCAUGGCACAUAUCCACACAUCACUUCAGAUGCAGCCCAAGAAAGUCUCUGUCUUCAGAAUGAAAGAGGUCCAGCAUGAAAAGGAAAGAGGGGAAAGAGAAGGAGAAACAAUUGGCCUGUCAGGUAAGAGGAAUCCCAUCUCUAUUACCCCUCCAGGAUGUUUCUUCUCAAACACAUUUAGUAGUCCCAUAUGCCAAGGAAACAGAUGACAAUUGGGGCUAUAUCUGGGCUGUGUAUUUGCCAAGUUGGGAAAAAAAAG